This 456-nucleotide ribosomal RNA is filed under the name Escherichia coli. Its description in RNAcentral is "bacterial SSU rRNA". It matches the Rfam family "Bacterial small subunit ribosomal RNA", at positions 30 to 473 of the family's 1533-position model. Lineage: Bacteria; Pseudomonadati; Pseudomonadota; Gammaproteobacteria; Enterobacterales; Enterobacteriaceae. The record is from RNAcentral.
AUUGAACGCUGGCGGCAGGCCUAACACAUGCAAGUCGAACGGUAACAGGAAGCAGCUUGCUGCUUUGCUGACGAGUGGCGGACGGGUGAGUAAUGUCUGGGAAACUGCCUGAUGGAGGGGGAUAACUACUGGAAACGGUAGCUAAUACCGCAUAACGUCGCAAGACCAAAGAGGGGGACCUUCGGGCCUCUUGCCAUCGGAUGUGCCCAGAUGGGAUUAGCUAGUAGGUGGGGUAAAGGCUCACCUAGGCGACGAUCCCUAGCUGGUCUGAGAGGAUGACCAGCCACACUGGAACUGAGACACGGUCCAGACUCCUACGGGAGGCAGCAGUGGGGAAUAUUGCACAAUGGGCGCAAGCCUGAUGCAGCCAUGCCGCGUGUAUGAAGAAGGCCUUCGGGUUGUAAAGUACUUUCAGCGGGGAGGAAGGGAGUAAAGUUAAUACCUUUGCUCAUUGAC